UCUCUGUACUUUUUUUUGGGGGGAUAAGUUUUUGAACAUACUAGAAUUUAUUUAGUACUCUAUUUUUAAUUUAGAACCUCCAGCUUGUUGUUAAGACAAUCAGUCUUCUAAGAAAAAUUUAACUUUUCCCUAUAAAAAUAGACCAUUCUAUUUCAGCUUAUUCAUUUCUAAAAGAUAAGAAAACAGAGACCCAGAAAAAAUUGCAUGUAGAAGAGAAGACAAUUAAUGAGAGAAACUUGGGAUUAGAAGGCAUAUAUAUGACUCCAGACUGUAAUAUACUGUUGAACUGGAAACAUAAAGAAUUAAGAUUUGGAAACUAAACCAAAAAAGCCCAACAUGAUUUAUUCAAGAGCAUUACAGUUAGGUGAAAAUAACAUGAGCAAAGUCCCAGAAGCAGAGUAUUACAGAACUAAAUAUGCCUAAAUAUAUCCCAAAAUAUAUGGCAAAGAAUCAUGCAGUGUUUCUGGUUUGUCAUUUAUUUAUAAUUAUCUUCCACUUUCCUCCAUUAUAGUAGAUAGUUAGGUGAUCAAAGAUAACAGAUUGUAGUUCAGAAGAGAAUCUUUCCAAAUCAAGCCUGUCUUUGAUAAUUAUGUGUGUUAAUUAGAUAAAAUGUAGAUGGUUCUUGUCCACAUAAACAAGCUAAUGUUUUCACUAGUGUUUGAGAGCCAUGUGAUAUUAUAAAUAUACCCCUGAAUCAGAAGCUAGACAAAUAGAUUUGAGUCUCAGAACUGACAUUCAGUAACUGUGUAAUAGUAGGAAAGUUGUCUUACCCAUAUGAAUCAAAAUUUAUCACUAAAAUAAGAAUAAAUACACUAAUUCUGUCACUGACUAUGGGGAAUUCCUCCUAUCUUAAAAAUAUUAUUCUAAUAUAAAAUAACUUUUUAUUUCCUUAGAAAAGCUUUGAUUUCAUUCUUGUAUUGAACUUCUUGUAGGGAGUACUAUUUGCCAUUACAUAUUACACUGUCUUUGAAAUAUGUUUCAGAGCAGCAGUUUAUUACCUGUUUUUUAGACAUGCCCCCAUUUGGCAGACUGGCAAAAACUAUGAACUUUUUUUAUGGUAAGUAAUUAAAUAUAUCAAAUAAAAUAUAUAACAU
Molecule: long non-coding RNA, 1094 nt
Organism: Sarcophilus harrisii (Tasmanian devil)
Lineage: Eukaryota; Metazoa; Chordata; Mammalia; Dasyuromorphia; Dasyuridae
Exons: 3
Source: RefSeq, a predicted model, not a curated record